GAUGAACGCUGGCGGCGUGCCUAACACAUGCAAGUCGAACGGAAAGGCCCUGCUUGCUGGCUACUCGAGUUGGCGACGGGCGGGUGAGUCAGGGGUGAAUUGCCCUCCACUUCGGGGUAGGGCAGGGCGACUGGGACUAAUACCUAAUAGGAGAUAUGUUUAACGGGAUGGUUCAAAAGUUUUUUCGGUGUUGGAUGAGCCUGUGGCGUAUUAGCUAGUUGGCGGGGUAACGGGGUACCAAGGCGGCGAUGGGUAGCCGAGCUGAGAGGGUGAGCGGCCACACUGGAGCUGAGACACGGUACAGACUCCUACGGGAGGCAGCAGUGGGGAAUAGUGGGCAAUGGGCGGAAGCUUGAUCCAGCGAUGCCGCGUGGGUGAAGAAGGCCUUCGGGUGGUAAAACGCUGUUCUUGGGGAAGAAAAGAUGCGGAAGAAACGAAGCAUGUUCUGACGGUACCUAAAUAAGAAGCACCGGCUAACUACGUG
This 484-nucleotide ribosomal RNA is filed under the name uncultured bacterium. Its description in RNAcentral is "partial 16S ribosomal RNA". It matches the Rfam family "Bacterial small subunit ribosomal RNA", at positions 28 to 507 of the family's 1533-position model. The record is from RNAcentral.